CCGCUGAAGACCGGGCCCCGUCUGGAGGUAGAGCAGAAACAGCAGUCAGGGCUACAUCUUUCACUUCGGUAGUCACCAUCGCCUAAUACAUGAAAGGCAGGAGAUUCCUGUGGUGGCUGUCUGCCCGACACUCCCGAGAGAAGGAGGGAAAGAGCUUUAACUACUCAGCACAUUGAAGAUUGAAAGCUGGAGGGGGCCCGGAGGAGAAGCGGACUAUUAACCUUACAAGCAUAAAGUACUCAACUAGCAACUUGCAACUGAAAAAAAAAUCACAAUCCUUUACAAAUUCAGAGUGACUUCAUCUUUUCAACAUCUCUCUAAGGUAGAUCUCAAGUAUUACUCUCCUCAUCUUGCAAAUGGAAAAAUGAAUCAUGGAGAGAUUGGAUGACUUGCUAGUGCUCACCGUUGAGAGCGACGAGCCGAGCUAGGAGAAGAUCGGGUUUCUUCAGGAUCAUGGAGAUUCUGGCACUGAACCUGGAACCUUCGGAUUUCGCCUAUUUUUACUGUAAAGCCGUAGUUGAUAAAUUUUCACAAGUCUACUAGUCAAGUCUACUUGUAAUCUAGUCUACCUGAGACCCUGGGGUUAGCAGACCAAGGCCUCAAGCUUUGUAAAGGGACAGUGGGUCUCUUGCGCAGCUACUUCCUGGGGAAAAUUCUUGUGCAGUAUUGCUGAUCAUUGAGGUACGGCCAGAACACUCCUCCAGAGGCAGCGACAUUUCAGUAAGAAUUGAUGUAAUCUGUUGCCUCAAGAAUGCUCAUCAAGUGAGUUGGAGGGUCUUUGUAAAGAAAGAAUCAUACUUAUCAAGGAUUUUACCAUCCGAUUUGA
Molecule: long non-coding RNA, 826 nt
Organism: Ornithorhynchus anatinus (platypus)
Lineage: Eukaryota; Metazoa; Chordata; Mammalia; Monotremata; Ornithorhynchidae
Exons: 3
Source: RefSeq, a predicted model, not a curated record